UGGGGGAUAUUGGACAAUGGGGGAAACCCUGAUCCAGCGAUGCCGCGUGAGGGAAGAAGGUUUUCGGAUUGUAAACCUCUGUGGACAGGGACGAUAAUGACGGUACCUGUUUAGAAAGCCACGGCUAACUACGUGCCAGCAGCCGCGGUAAUACGUAGGUGGCGAGCGUUGUCCGGAAUUACUGGGUGUAAAGGGAGUGUAGGCGGGAAGGCAAGUCAGAAGUGAAAAUUAUGGGCUUAACCCAUAACCUGCUUUUGAAACUGUUUUUCUUGAGUGAGGCAGAGGCAAGCGGAAUUCCUAGUGUAGCGGUGAAAUGCGUAGAUAUUAGGAGGAACACCAGUGGCGAAGGCGGCUUGCUGGGCCUUUACUGACGCUGAGGCUCGAAAGCGUGGGGAGCAAACA
RNAcentral lists this ribosomal RNA (402 nucleotides) under uncultured bacterium. RNAcentral's name for it is "bacterial SSU rRNA". It matches the Rfam family "Bacterial small subunit ribosomal RNA", at positions 355 to 774 of the family's 1533-position model. The record is from RNAcentral.